This 333-nucleotide long non-coding RNA is filed under the name Ganoderma lucidum. RNAcentral describes it as "long non-coding RNA (GLUC_LNC000027)". The record is from RNAcentral. Lineage: Eukaryota; Fungi; Basidiomycota; Agaricomycetes; Polyporales; Polyporaceae.
GACUGUGCUGUCGUAACGCGAAGAGUGCUCGCGGGAGGGGUUCGCGUCCACAGAGCGCCGUCUUGCAGUGGCCGUUGUCAUUACUCAUCUCCGCAGCAGGCCAGGGCGGGAGGGAGAAGCGGAUGGUAUAGAACCCGGAGGGACCGAAGCAGGUGGACCGCAUGGACCACAGAUACCGAUGGUCUGAAUGGGUUCUUUGCGCGGGCAGCCGGGCAACCCCGUGUCGAUGGCCGGGAGAGGUACUGCUAGGGAGCAUCAUGAGCGGAACUAAGAUAAAAACAUUGCUUCGCAGAACACUAGACUUGUUGGAAGGCGCAUGUGAUGGGAGGAUCC